This 253-nucleotide ribosomal RNA is filed under the name uncultured bacterium. RNAcentral's name for it is "partial 16S ribosomal RNA". It matches the Rfam family "Bacterial small subunit ribosomal RNA", at positions 524 to 776 of the family's 1533-position model. The record is from RNAcentral.
UACGGAGGGUGCAAGCGUUAUCCGGAUUCACUGGGUUUAAAGGGUGCGUAGGCGGGUUGGUAAGUCCGUGGUGAAAUCCCCAAGCUUAACUUGGGAACUGCCGUGGAUACUAUCAAUCUUGAAUAUCGUGGAGGUAAGCGGAAUAUGUCAUGUAGCGGUGAAAUGCUUAGAUAUGACAUAGAACACCAAUUGCGAAGGCAGCUUACUACAGGAAUAUUGACACUGAUGCACGAAAGCGUGGGGAUCAAACAGG